GUGGCGGCCGCGAGGCCGUCGCUGAGAUAGAACCCUUGCCAUUUUUGAGUACCCUUCCGUUUCCUCGGCAGGUCCGCCUGCCAACGGGGACCCAACGAAAACCUCUUGCAACCUGACACGCCGUCUGAAUCAAAAACAAGCAAAUCAAAACUUUCAACAACGGAUCUCUUGGUUCU
RNAcentral lists this unclassified non-coding RNA (176 nucleotides) under rhizosphere metagenome. RNAcentral describes it as "partial ribosomal RNA internal transcribed spacer region". The record is from RNAcentral.